UACGUAUGGGGCAAGCGUUAUCCGGAUUUACUGGGUGUAAAGGGAGCGUAGGCGGCAGGGCAAGCCUGAUGUGAAAGCCCGGGGCUCAACCCCGGGACUGCAUUGGGAACUGCCCUGCUGGAGUGCCGGAGGGGCAGGCGGAAUUCCUAGUGUAGCGGUGAAAUGCGUAGAUAUUAGGAGGAACACCAGUGGCGAAGGCGGCUUGCUGGACGAUGACUGACGUUGAGGCUCGAAAGCGUGGGGAGCAAACAGG
Molecule: ribosomal RNA, 253 nt
Filed under: uncultured bacterium
Lineage: Bacteria
Description: partial 16S ribosomal RNA
Rfam family: Bacterial small subunit ribosomal RNA
Source: RNAcentral